RNAcentral lists this ribosomal RNA (475 nucleotides) under uncultured organism. Its description in RNAcentral is "partial 16S ribosomal RNA". It matches the Rfam family "Bacterial small subunit ribosomal RNA", at positions 329 to 796 of the family's 1533-position model. The record is from RNAcentral.
ACGUACACUCCUGCGGGAGGCAGCAGUGUGGAAUAUUGCACAAUGGGCGCAAGCCUGAUGCAGCCAUGCCGCGUGUAUGAAGAAGGCCUUCGGGUUGUAAAGUACUUUCAGCGGGGAGGAAGGCAAUACGGUUAAUAACCGUGUUGAUUGACGUUACCCGCAGAAGAAGCACCGGCUAACUCCGUGCCAGCAGCCGCGGUAAUACGGAGGGUGCAAGCGUUAAUCGGAAUUACUGGGCGUAAAGCGCACGCAGGCGGUCUGUCAAGUCGGAUGUGAAAUCCCCGGGCUCAACCUGGGAACUGCAUUCGAAACUGGCAGGCUUGAGUCUUGUAGAGGGGGGUAGAAUUCCAGGUGUAGCGGUGAAAUGCGUAGAGAUCUGGAGGAAUACCGGUGGCGAAGGCGGCCCCCUGGACAAAGACUGACGCUCAGGUGCGAAAGCGUGGGGAGCAAACAGGAUUAGAUACCCGGGUAGUCC